RNAcentral lists this ribosomal RNA (515 nucleotides) under uncultured bacterium. RNAcentral's name for it is "partial 16S ribosomal RNA". It matches the Rfam family "Bacterial small subunit ribosomal RNA", at positions 28 to 523 of the family's 1533-position model. The record is from RNAcentral.
GAUGAACGCUGGCGGCGUGCCUAAUACAUGCAAGUCGAGCGAAUGGAUUGAGAGCUUGCUCUUAUGAAGUUAGCGGCGGACGGGUGAGUAACACGUGGGUAACCUGCCCAUAAGACUGGGAUAACUACGGGAAACCGGGGCUAAUACCGGAUAACAUUUUGAACAGCAUGGCUCGAAAUUGAAAGGCGGCUUCGGCGGUCACUUAUGGAUGGACCCGCGUCGGAUUAGCUAGUUGGUGAGGUAACGGCUCACCAAGGCAACGAUGCGUAGCCGACCUGAGAGGGUGAUCGGCCACACUGGGACUGAGACACGGCCCAGCCUCCUACGGGAGGCAGCAGUAGGGAAUCUUCCGCAAUGGACGAAAGUCUGACGGAGCAACGCCGCGUGAGUGAUGAAGGCUUUCGGGUCGUAAAACUCUGUUGUUAGGGAAGAACAAGUGCUAGUUGAAUAAGCUGGCACCUUGACGGUACCUAACCAGAAAGCCACGGCUAACUACGUGCCAGCAGCCGCCGUAA